This 3045-nucleotide small RNA is filed under the name Pongo abelii (Sumatran orangutan). RNAcentral's name for it is "processed transcript". The record is from RNAcentral. Lineage: Eukaryota; Metazoa; Chordata; Mammalia; Primates; Hominidae.
GGUUCCACAAUGGUACAGGCAGCAUCACGCUGCACAAUGGUUUCCAGGCAGUGAAAGAGGGUGAUUCAGCAAGCCACUCUUCUUCUUCUAUUUUCUUUAACCUCCCCUUCACUUUUUAUUUUUAUGGGGGUGGGUGGUGCUUGCUAUAUGCUUACCUUUUUCUUUUAUUUUUUCAUUUUUACAAAUAUCCUUUUUUGUCCUCACCCCUCAAUUCCUAGGGGCUUGAGUGAGUUUAAGAUUGGGUUUUCUUGGAAAUCACCUGUCCAUCGUUAAUUUUAAACAAUCUCCAUAUCUCCAAAGAAUCUCUUCCAUAUUACAGUCUGGAAUGUGGUUAAUGAAAAACAAGUAGGGAGGAUUUCUGGGGCAAACACUGCCGGAUCAGGAUCGUAGUUCUCAGGCACGGAAUGGCUAGUGUGAGAAACACCAACGUCAGGCCCAUCUCAGAUCUUCACUAUGGCAACUCAUGCAAGAAACUGUUGAAUUAGACCCGUUUCCUAUAGAUGAGAAACCAUACAAGCUGUGGUAUUUAUGAGCCUCCAUUUCUUAUACUACUGCAGUGAACCAACAUUGGAUGUGAAAAUUGCCUUUUGUCAGGUGUGUGUUCCUUACAGGUAAAACAAGGGAUUCGAUAAACAAGUGGAUGUGUCAUAUAUUGCCAAACAUUACAACAUGAGCAAAAGCAAAGUUGACAACCAGUUCUACAGUGUGGAAGUGGGAGACUCAACCUUCACAGUUCUCAAGCGCUACCAGAAUCUAAAGCCUAUUGGCUCUGGGGCUCAGGGCAUAGUUUGGUCUCAAGAAAUAGCACCAACCUGUGAGCCAAAGGAGCCAUCUUAAUGUCUUUAGGUCAUUAAUUUUAGACAUAGCAUGUUCUUUACUACAAGGCUACUUUGAGAGUCACUGUGUCACUGUUGGGCUUCUGGCAUAAAUAAAGUUAACAUAAUAUACUCAAUAAACUCUUUCACUCCUUAGCUAACUCCAACAUCAUCCAGACACUGAUGCUCAUCCAAGUUGCCGUGUAGAUUUAUAAGAAGAAUCUUGUUAAGAUAAAAUAACUAAACAUAAAUCAUACUUUAAAUUUUAUUGCCAUGAAAUGGCCAAAGGUAGGAAUGUAGCAGUAACCCCGGAAGAGCAGUCCUUGGUUCUUACUCUUUUGUCUUGGGGGAGUGACAUGUAAAAGCCUCUUCAACCAGAAGCACAGGUGCCCUUGAGCAGCAGGAGAGCAUAUCACUUAUAUCUAAAAGGGAAUAUUUUGUCAAUGAAAGUACAUGCUAAAAUAUAUUAUAUUGAUGGUCGUAAAAAUAAUGUUAUUAGAAAUUGUUUUAAACAAACAUUUUUGAAAAUGAAAAUAAAAAUACAGUUAAUAUUUUAUAACUUAUAUGAAUUGCCUAAAUCUCUUUUUAAUGAGAAGAAUAAUUACUGUGGUACAUCUCAUGUAUAUUAAUCUGUGGAAAUUUCUGAUAUUUUUCUGAAGUCAACUUUUUAAUAUGAAUUUAUUAUUCUUAAGUUUUAAUGAAACUUCUGGUAAUCUUCAAAAUUGCCUGUUAUGGUUAAUAAAUUUGAAAUAUUGACACAUUUAAUAUAUAUAACAAUAUUUUUAUUUGAAAAAUGUUCUCAAAAGGGGCUUAGGUAUCUGCUAAGAACAAAUUUUGCUAAAUUGAAAAUAUUCUUUUUAUUAAUUGAAAAUAUUCUUAAUUCUAAUGUAUUUUUGUAUUGUAAUGUAUAAGUAUUUGAGUCCAAGCUUUUUCACAGACACUGAGUUUUCCCCCCUUCAUUUGGUGUUCCAUUAUCCAAGAAAUAAUUUCAUAAUACCACACUUGCCAAAUAGAUUGCCGAAAUUUAUGGCUUUUUAAAUGGUUUGCCAAAUUUAGAUGCAGAAAAAUUAUAGGCCUUUAAAAUCAUAUUUCAAUCCUGCACAGAAUAUAAAUAUUUGGAAAUUAGAAAUUACACCAGGUCCCACAUAGAAUAUAAAUAGAUCAUAAAAUUCAGAACUUUAUCGAAAGACUGUUCUCACAAAUUAAGAUAUUCUAAAGUAUAAUUAUGGAAUUUCAAAAUGAAAUCUUAUCCUCUCUUUGAGAAUGCAUGAUUUCAUUUGAUUUGUUCAGUUAAUUUCUUUAGUCCAUUUCAGCACAUUCUUGUGGGCUUCAAGUUGCAAGUUUUGUUUAUAAUAAUAGCUAUUCCUUAAAAGUUUCAAGAGUUGAAUACUGGGAUGCUCCAUUUAUGAAAUACUAUGAUUAAACAUUUCCAAGUAAUUUUGCAAAAAAAAGCACCCAAAGUUUAGAGGACUUAUGUAUAAAAAGUUAUUUUUCAAUAGUAAGUAUGAGAAAUGCCAAGAAAAUAUGCCGAUUGCUAUUUCAAAGUAUUUUCAUUUUUUAAAUUCAAUAUCAGCUUUGUCUCCAAAAUUUUGUAAUAAAGUGAUUCUAAUUAUAAAAAUAUUUGUAAAUCUUGUCACCUUUAUCUUCUAUUUUGAUUUGUAGAAUAUUGCAAUUUAUUUGGACCCAAUGUGAAUUAUAUUUGCACCACAACAAAUUCAGAGUCCAUUUCUACUCCAUAGAUUUCUUAUUGUGAUAAGAAUACUGUUUUUAGUGUAAUUGUGUUCAGCAAAAAUUUUGUGUGUGUUAUCACUGAAAAAAUAAGUAACCUACCUUCGAUGACAACAUUUUUAACUAAAAUUGUUAUACUUUUUACACUAUUGUCAGAUUUUAAACUUUGAUAGAAUGACCUUCCAUAGCUUUAUUUUGAGUCACUGAAUUGGAUUAAAAAAUCAAACUAGUAUUUAAAUAUAUUAAUUUUAUGUUUGAGGCAUAUGAUAAAAUGAAAUAAAGUGGCCAUAACUUAAAUGUUUAUAAAAUUGUUUUCUGCUAAUAGAGGCAGCACAUUAACAACUGUUGCUUAACUUAUGGUACAUAUAUUUAAGAACUUGGGAGUUGAAUAGAAUGAACAGCAUACUUUCUGUCAUUCUUAGAUUGUUUUGUUCUGACUGACAUGACCUAAAAGUAAGUACAUGUGGAAGAAGGUCAUUAUGGAACUUACUGGUAAUUUAUU